GAUGAACGCUGGCGGCGUGCCUAAUGCAUGCAAGUCGAGCGAACAGACGAGGAGCUUGCUCCUCUGACGUUAGCGGCGGACGGGUGAGUAACACGUGGAUAACCUACCUAUAAGACUGGGAUAACUUCGGGAAACCGGAGCUAAUACCGGAUAAUAUAUUGAACCGCAUGGUUCAAUAGUGAAAGACGGUUUUGCUGUCACUUAUAGAUGGAUCCGCGCCGCAUUAGCUAGUUGGUAAGGUAACGGCUUACCAAGGCGACGAUGCGUAGCCGACCUGAGAGGGUGAUCGGCCACACUGGAACUGAGACACGGUCCAGACUCCUACGGGAGGCAGCAGUAGGGAAUCUUCCGCAAUGGGCGAAAGCCUGACGGAGCAACGCCGCGUGAGUGAUGAAGGUCUUCGGAUCGUAAAACUCUGUUAUUAGGGAAGAACAAAUGUGUAAGUAACUAUGCACGUCUGGACGGUACCUAAUCAGAAAGCCACGGCUAACUACGU
This 496-nucleotide ribosomal RNA is filed under the name uncultured bacterium. RNAcentral's name for it is "partial 16S ribosomal RNA". It matches the Rfam family "Bacterial small subunit ribosomal RNA", at positions 28 to 506 of the family's 1533-position model. The record is from RNAcentral.